CAGCCUUUAUUUGCUUAGCGGUCAGCGAAGCAGAGCAUCAUCUUCUGGGAAGGCUGUCCCCACUGAGGGCUUGUUAAUUCAUCAUCAGUGAAUUUAUGGUGCCCUGGAAAGUGAAGCUCUGUGCUAGACAAGGCACAACCAUUUUGUAACAGUGAUGGAAAAUGCCCUAAAGAGAAGAAAUAAACAAGGAAAAGCCUCCCAAGAGCCAAAGCCUUACUGGGGUCUUAAAAGGAAAUCAUUUUCUUCACGAGGUAAGA
Calidris pugnax (ruff) is the source of this 257-nucleotide long non-coding RNA. RefSeq lists it as uncharacterized. Lineage: Eukaryota; Metazoa; Chordata; Aves; Charadriiformes; Scolopacidae. The record is from RefSeq and is a predicted model, not a curated record. The transcript has 3 exons.